AUUAUGGAAUGGAAAUGUGAUUGGUAUUAUUUGAGAAGAAGAAAGAUUGAAUGCUGAAAUCUGAUUGUAGUUCAGCAGAGAGAAUAAAUCUGUGUUUGUGUGAAACACCGUAAUGUGAAUGGCAGUUCUGUGUGAAGAAUUCCAGUGAUUGGAAUGAGGAUAAUUGUGUGCUGAAAGCUGUAAGGGCAUAGUAUUAUAGUUGGAGAUUAUGAGGGUAAAUAUAUUGGUGGAAAAAGUAGUUAU
RNAcentral lists this long non-coding RNA (243 nucleotides) under Physcomitrium patens. RNAcentral's name for it is "long non-coding RNA (PPAT_LNC008742)". Lineage: Eukaryota; Viridiplantae; Streptophyta; Bryopsida; Funariales; Funariaceae. The record is from RNAcentral.